This 650-nucleotide ribosomal RNA is filed under the name uncultured bacterium. RNAcentral describes it as "bacterial SSU rRNA". It matches the Rfam family "Bacterial small subunit ribosomal RNA", at positions 70 to 711 of the family's 1533-position model. The record is from RNAcentral.
UUGCCGAUAGCAAUAUUAGCAAGUUCUAGUGGCGAAAGGGUGCGUAACACGUAGCUUACCUGCCUCGAAGUGGGGGAUAGCUCGCCGAAAGGUGAAUUAAUACCGCAUGUGGUCGAGAGACCAAAGCUGGGGAUUCUUCGGAACCUGGCGCUUUGAGAUGGGGCUGCGGCCUAUCAGCUAGUUGGUGAGGUAACGGCUCACCAAGGCUCAGACGGGUAGCUGGUCUGAGAGGACGAUCAGUCACACUGGAACUGAGACACGGUCCAGACACCUACGGGUGGCAGCAGUCGAGGAUUUUUCACAAUGGGGGAAACCCUGAUGGAGCGACGCCGCGUGGGGGAUGACGGCCUUCGGGUUGUAAACCCCUGUCAUCCGGGAGUAAAGCUCAGUGGUUAAUACCCGCUGGGUUGAUAGUACCGGAAGAGGAAGCAGUGGCUAACUCCGUGCCAGCAGCCGCGGUAAUACGGAGACUGCAAGCGUUGUUCGGAUUCAUUGGGCGUAAAGGGUCCGUAGGCGGUCAGCCAAGUCGGAUGUGAAAUUCCCGAGCCCAACUCGGGUAGGUCAUUCGAAACUGGUUGACUAGAGGACUGGAGAGGAGACUGGAAUUGUCGGUGUAGCGGUGAAAUGCGUAGAGAUCGACAAGAACACCU